This is a non-coding RNA of Microcebus murinus (gray mouse lemur), 1066 nucleotides long. Lineage: Eukaryota; Metazoa; Chordata; Mammalia; Primates; Cheirogaleidae. The record is from RefSeq and is a predicted model, not a curated record.
CCACACCGGGCCCCCAGGACGCCAGAGAGACAGGCCUCCAAGGACGAACAGGAGGGGGUCCGUCACUCAGUGGAACCAGCGGCCCUGGCAGCUGUUUCCGCAGAUCAGGGAUGGCGUCUCCCCGGCCAGGGGUCUCAGGGCCACACUCGCACCCCUUCCAUCUGCCUCCCACAUGUGCAGGGGCCCCAGUUUUGGGACAGAUGAAAUGUAAGGAACAGAGACGUUGACAGGCGCCCAGGCAUUCGGACAUCAGCUGGGUUGUGUGGAUCCAGGUCAUUGAGAUUCGGUGUUUCACCAACAGUGACUGGGCUGGAUUAUAAACUUGCCUGCUUCUGGGGCGGCGGGGCUGGUUUGAUGGCAGGGAGAGCUUCCCAGGAGAAUGUUGGGGCACCGCCCUCAAAGGCGAGGCUCCCUCACUGUGCAUCUCGCGCUCUGGAAAGGAGCGACGGAGGCCUCGGACGCCAGUUCUCUCCCCUGCCCGUCCCUCCUCUCCGGUCACUCAGAGGGAGGGACGAACCUCCACCCCAGCAAGAGCUUUUCUCUCGCCUGCUCGUGACAUCCUCAGGCCGUGGGACAUCAAGCCGGGAGGGUGAAGGUGGUACUUAUUGUCUGCCUCCAGGGGAGACAGGACACGCCGGCGCCCGCGUCCUCCGACGCCCCCAAGCCGUGGGCUCACUAGGCUAACGAACGGCCAGUCGGUCGGCAACCGGGUUCUCCCCGCAAAAUACAGAAGCUCAUUCCUGACGGAUUAGUCAAGUGUGGGGCUGCUGCUCUCUGCCGUUUAGCAGCGGAAGGAGCAAAAGGCCUUGCUUAAGUCUUUCGCCAGUUUCUACGGAAGGCUGAUCUCUCAGCGCUCCUCUCUCUGAAAGGAAGUGCGAAGGUCUCACAAAAGCCCCUCACUGCAAUCCCCAAACUGGCACGAAGACUCUUAAUGGCCGGGGAAACGAGAGUUUGCGAAUCUUUGAGACGUGUUUGCUAACUACAUUAAACACACACACACACACACACACACACACACACACAUCUUUUUUGGAAUCUUAAGAAACAUAAAACUGGCUGUUCUUCA